This 253-nucleotide ribosomal RNA is filed under the name uncultured bacterium. RNAcentral's name for it is "partial 16S ribosomal RNA". It matches the Rfam family "Bacterial small subunit ribosomal RNA", at positions 524 to 776 of the family's 1533-position model. The record is from RNAcentral.
UACAGAGGGUGCGAGCGUUAAUCGGAAUUACUGGGCGGAAAGGGUGCGUAGGUGGUUUGGUAAGUUAGAUGUGAAAUUCCUGGGCUUAACCUGGGGACUGCGUCUGAUACUGCUAGGCUAGAGUACUGUAGAGGGAAGUGGAAUUUCCGGUGUAGCAGUGAAAUGCGUAGAUAUUGGGAAGAACACCGGUGGCGAAGGCGGCUCUCUGGACCGAGACUGACGCUGAGGCGCGAAAGCGUGGGGAGCAAACAGG